Molecule: ribosomal RNA, 855 nt
Filed under: uncultured bacterium
Lineage: Bacteria
Description: bacterial SSU rRNA
Rfam family: Bacterial small subunit ribosomal RNA
Source: RNAcentral
GAUGAACGCUAGCGGCAGGCCUAAUACAUGCAAGUCGAACGGUGUCUUCGGACAUAGUGGCGCACGGGUGCGUAACACGUAUGCAACCUACCUUACAUUGGGGGAUAGCCUUUCGAAAGGGAGAUUAAUACCGCAUAAGACAGUAACUGGGCAUCCAGUAGCUGUUAAAGAUUUAUCGAUGUAAGAUGGGCAUGCGACCAAUUAGUUAGUUGGCGAGGUAAUGGCUCACCAAGACUAUGAUUGGUAGGGGAACUGAGAGGUCAAUCCCCCACACUGGCACUGAGAUACGGGCCAGACUCCUACGGGAGGCAGCAGUAGGGAAUAUUGGGCAAUGGACGCAAGUCUGACCCAGCCAUGCCGCGUGCAGGAUGAAGGCGUUAUGCGUCGUAAACUGCUUUUAUACAGGAAGAAACGACUCUUGCGAGAGGCAUUGACGGUACUGUAUGAAUAAGCACCGGCUAACUCCGUGCCAGCAGCCGCGGUAAUACGGAGGGUGCAAGCGUUGUCCGGAUUUAUUGGGUUUAAAGGGUGCGCAGGUGGUUUAUUAAGUCAGUGGUGAAAGACGGUCGCUCAACGAUUGCAGUGCCAUUGAAACUAGUAGACUUGAGUAAAGUAGAGGUGGGCGGAAUUGAUAGUGUAGCGGUGAAAUGCAUAGAUAUUAUCAAGAACUCCAAUUGCGUAGGCAGCUCACUUGGCUUUUACUGACACUCAUGCACGAAAGUGUGGGUAUCAAACAGGAUUAGAUACCCUGGUAGUCCACACUGUAAACGAUGAUAACUAGGUGUCGGCCGAAUCUGGUCGGUGCCACAGCGAAAGCGUUAAGUUAUCCACCUGGGGAGUACGCCGGCAACGGUG